UCGAGAGAAAUCUAUUGGUACCAGUAUUUCUGAGUGGGGUUCACUGUAGAGAGAGAUCUUCUCCCCCAAAGAAUUCGAAUUUCAUGGAAAAUAUGGGUUUUGAUGGAGCUUGAAGCCAUGGGAGCUUGAAGCAAGCUUCUCCCUUCAUUCUAGGUGUACCUAGGGACUGUGAACGUUUGGAUUCUCGUGGAGUAUGAUAAGUAGCUUGUUCUUCAAGUAAGCAGAUUGUAAAGCUCAAAGAGGAACACAGUUAAUUGAAGAGCCUCAUGGGACAAGGACACUAACCGUGGCUAGAGGUACUAGUAUGAGGAUGUGGAGUUCUGGGUGGUCGGAUGCUACUAUUUGUUUUAGACGUAUUUUUGGAAAAGAUGUAUUGUUGCAUAGUGUUCAUAUUCGAUACAUGUACAUUUAUGUAUUCAGGCAUGAUGAUAUGACUAUGUAGUAUUCAGUUAUGUUAUGUAUUGGAUUGCAUGCUAUUAGAUUUGUGGCAC
Gastrolobium bilobum is the source of this 491-nucleotide long non-coding RNA. RefSeq lists it as uncharacterized. Lineage: Eukaryota; Viridiplantae; Streptophyta; Magnoliopsida; Fabales; Fabaceae. The transcript has 3 exons. The record is from RefSeq and is a predicted model, not a curated record.